GACGAACGCUGGCGGCGUGCCUAAUACAUGCAAGUCGAACGAACAGGUCAUGCUUUUGCUCCUCUCACGUUAGCGGCGGACGGGUGAGUAACACGAGUAUAAUCUACCUAUAAGACUGUGAUAACUUCGGGAAACCGGAGCUAAUACCGUAUAAUCUCUUGAACCGUAGUGUUGAAUAGUGAAAGUCGGUUUUGGUGUCUGUAAUAGAUGGUUCCCAGCUGGAUUGGCUGGUUGGUAAGGUAAAGGCUUAGCAAGGCAACGAUGCGUAGCCGACCUGAGAGGGUGAUAGGCCACACUAGAGCUGAGCCACGGUCCAGACUCCUACGGGAGGCAGCAGUAGGGAAUCUGACGCAAUGGGCGAAAGCCUGACGCAGCAACGCCGCGUGAGUGAUGAAGGUCUUCGGUUCGUAAAACUCUGUUAUUAGGGAAGAACAAAUGUGUAAGUAACUAUGCACGUCUUGACGGUACCUAAUCAGAAAGCCACGGCUAACUACGUG
Molecule: ribosomal RNA, 497 nt
Filed under: uncultured bacterium
Lineage: Bacteria
Description: partial 16S ribosomal RNA
Rfam family: Bacterial small subunit ribosomal RNA
Source: RNAcentral